CGCUGGCGGCGUGCUUAACACAUGCGAGUCGAACGAUGAGGCCUAGCUUGCUAGGUGGAUUAGUGGCGAACGGGGGAGUAAUACGUGAGUAACCUACCUUGAACUCUGGGAUAAGCCUGGGAAACUGGGGCUAAUACCGGAUACGACCAAUCUCCGCAUGGGGUGUUGGUGGAAAGCGGUAUGUAGUGGUUAUAGAUGGGCUCGCGGCCUAUCAGCUUGUUGGUGAGGUAACGGCUCACCAAGGCGACGACGGGUAGCCGGCCUGAGAGGGUGACCGGCCACACUGGGACUGAGACACGGCCCAGACUCCUACGGGAGGCAGCAGUGGGGAAUAUUGCACAAUGGGCGCAAGCCUGAUGCAGCGACGCCGCGUGAGGGAUGACGGCCUUCGGGUUGUAAACCUCUGUUAGCAGGGAAGGAGAGAGAUUGACGGUACCUGCAGAGAAAGCGCCGGCUAACUACGUGCCAGCAGCCGCGGUAAUACGUAGGGCGCGAGCGUUGUCCGGAAUUAUUGGGCGUAAAGAGCUUGUAGGCGGUUUGUCGCGUCUGCUGUGAAGGCCGGAGCUUAACUCCGUGUAUUGCAGUGGGUACGGGCAGACUAGAGUGCAGUAGGGGGGACUGGAAUUCCUGGUGUAGCGGUGGAAUGCGCAGAUAUCAGGAGGAACACCGAUGGCGAAGGCAGGUCUCUGGGCUGUAACUGACGCUGAGAAGCGAAAGCAUGGGGAGCGAACAGGAUUAGAUACCCUGGUAGUCCAUGCCGUAAACGUUGGGCACUAGGUGUGGGGAACAUUCCACGUUUUCCGCGCCGUAGCUAACGCAUUAAGUGCCCCGCCUGGGGAGUACGGCCGCAAGGCUAAAACUCAAAGAAAUUGACGGGGGCCCGCACAAGCGGCGGAGCAUGCGGAUUAAUUCGAUGCAACGCGAAGAACCUUACCAAGGCUUGACAUAUACUGGACCGCAUCAGAGAUGGUGUUUCCCUUCGGGGCUGGUAUACAGGUGGUGCAUGGUUGUCGUCAGCUCGUGUCGUGAGAUGUUGGGUUAAGUCCCGCAACGAGCGCAACCCUCGUUCUAUGUUGCCAGCACGUUAUGGUGGGGACUCAUAGGAGACUGCCGGGGUCAACUCGGAGGAAGGUGGGGAUGACGUCAAAUCAUCAUGCCCCUUAUGUCUUGGGCUUCACGCAUGCUACAAUGGCCGGUACAGAGGGUUGCGAUACUGUGAGGUGGAGCUAAUCCCUAAAAGCCGGUCUCAGUUCGGAUUGGGGUCUGCAACUCGACCCCAUGAAGUCGGAGUCGCUAGUAAUCGCAGAUCAGCAACGCUGCGGUGAAUACGUUCCCGGGCCU
This 1341-nucleotide ribosomal RNA is filed under the name uncultured bacterium. RNAcentral describes it as "16S ribosomal RNA". It matches the Rfam family "Bacterial small subunit ribosomal RNA", at positions 34 to 1381 of the family's 1533-position model. The record is from RNAcentral.